AGAAACUUUUUCUAGUUAUUUAUAUGGUUCGAAAAGCAGCUUGUAAAAAAUGCACCAAUAAUGUUCCAACUCUUUUAUAAUAGGAGCCAAAUAUAUGCAGCAGUUCGCACGUGGGAGAAGCGCCCCUCGUCCGGCAUCGUCACGAUUCCAUCACUUAAUCAUUUAUUUGAGCCGCGGCCCACCGCAGUAGACUAUGACGCGCCAAAAUCAUCGCUUUCAUCGGUUUGGUCCCAUCCGACCCGGUUCUGCUGCUUCGCAGCCAGCUAUACGACGAGCGGGGCCUGGUCAUCCUGAUGGUGGAUCUGAGCCGUUGGACGAAGAGAUCGGGAUGCAGCUUACGGCCA
This 344-nucleotide long non-coding RNA is filed under the name Elaeis guineensis (African oil palm). RNAcentral's name for it is "long non-coding RNA (EGUI_LNC011184)". Lineage: Eukaryota; Viridiplantae; Streptophyta; Magnoliopsida; Arecales; Arecaceae. The record is from RNAcentral.